Molecule: long non-coding RNA, 1452 nt
Organism: Pan troglodytes (chimpanzee)
Lineage: Eukaryota; Metazoa; Chordata; Mammalia; Primates; Hominidae
Exons: 6
Source: RefSeq, a predicted model, not a curated record
ACAACCACAGUUGCUAACAGUAUGAGUUCUGCAGUUAUACAGAACUAAGUCCAUUAGCUGUGUGACCCAUGGCCAAAUAUUUUCCUUCUCUGUGCCUGCAUUUCUUCAUCUGUAAACUGGAAUAAUGAUAGCAACUACUUCAGAGGACUAUGUUCAAGUGAUUCUCCUGCCUCAGUCUCCUGAGUAGCUGAUAUUACAGGUGCCUGCCACUACACCCAGGUGGAGUCUCGCUCUGUUGCCCAGGCUGGAGUGCAAUGGCGCCAUCUCGGCUCACUGCAACCUCCACCUCCCAGGUUCACACCAUUCUCCUGUCUCAGCCUCCCGAGAAGCCGGGACUACAAGCACCUGCCACCACACCCGGCUAAUUUUUUGUAUUUUUAGUAGAGACAGGGUUUCACCAUGUUAGCCAGGAUGGUCUCGAUCUCCUGAUCUCAUGAUCUGCCCGCCUCGGCCUCCCAAAGUGUUGGGAUUACAGGCAUGAGCCACCGUGCCAGGUGGUUUUAUAAGGGAAUUUUCCCCCACUUUGCUCUGCACUUCUCCUCGCUGCUGCCAUGUGAAAAAGGAUGUGUUUGCUUCCCCUUCUGCCAUGAUUGUGCUUUUCUCCAACUUCACUCUGCACUUUCCCUUGGUGUCACAAUGUAAGGAAGGAUGUGUUUGCUUCCCCUUCUGCCAUGAUUGCAAGUUUCCUGAGGCCUCCCCAGUCAUGCUAAACUGUCCAAUCAGCAUAAUGUCACCAAUGCAAUGGAACGAACUGAUUUUCUGCAGAAAGGAAAAUCAAUCAAGGUCCCAGUGGACUAAAUGAUGAUAUAAGGCUGAAGAAUGGACACAUCCUAUGAAGUCUCGCUCUGUCACCCAGGCUGUAGUGUAGUGGGGUGACCUUGGCUUACUGCAACCUCCACCUCCUAGGUUCCAGCGAUUCUCCCACCUCAGCCUCCUGAGUACCUGAGAUUAUAGGCACCUGCCACCAUGCCCAGCUAAUUUUUGUAUUUUUAGUAGAGACCGUGUUUCACCAUAUUGGCCAGGCUGGUCUUGAACUCCUGACCUCAAGCGAUCUGCCCACCUCGGCCUCCCAAAGUGCUGGGAUUACAGGCAUGAGCCACAGUGCCUGGCCUACGUUUUUCUUUUUAAAGACUGACUUUUCAUUUAGAUUAAAUGAUUGCUCUUCUAAAGUAAUUUACUCUUUGUUGGUUUUAAGAAAUCUUUUGCAUGUAUAAGGUAUAAAACAACAACUGUUUAUACAUUACUUCCAUUAGCCGAUGAACUAGCGGUUAAAUGAUGCUUCAAAUAGAAAAUAAGUUAAUUCCACUAAUAGAUUGUGUUUUCAUUAAAGUCAUAAACAUGAAAUAACACUUUACAAAGUUCAUUUUGUUGAGUACCUUGCAUUACUGUGAAUUAUAUUGUAAAGUAGUUUAAAGCUUAACAUUAAAGAUAAAAUUAUUAUUUUUGCUGUUA